UGCCAGGUAACAACACCAACACUGCAGAGCCGUGCCAGGUGAUAACACCAACACUGCAGGGGCUGGAGGCAGCCCUGUGCAGCUGCAGCAAGCUCCAGAGUGCAGGAUCCUCCCAGGGGCACAGCACCAUGGCAGCAGUGCCAGGACUGGCACAGGACAGGGUCCUGAGCCUGGAACCUGCGGCCAGCGGCACCCAGGGGGCCACAGCCACCACCCAGGGGUCACUGCACUGCCCAGGGGCUCAUGGCCACCACCCAGGGGUUCAUGGCCACCACCAAGGGGUCACUGUGGCACCCAGGGGUCACUGUACGUGCCCUGCAGAACAGGCAGAGCGUGGGCAGAGCCUUGCAGCCCCCCCAGAAGCCUGGGCUCCUUCCCAGGCGUGGCUGUAAAUGCAAUGAGCAGGCUGCAGCCUCUGGAACCACCAAGGACAGGUGAGAGCAGCACUGUGAGGCAGCUGGGGAGAAGGCUCGGUGCUCAGGCUGAGCCCGAGUGCAUCUGCUGCCCAGUCAGAGGAAGGUGCUCCCUCCUCCUGCCUGGCACCACCAGAGGCACAACUACACAGAGGAGGCGACUUCUGAGCGAGAGCCAAGGGCAAGGGCACAAAGGAAGAUCUGCUGGCAAACCUCUGCGGUUAUUUAUUUGUUCAAGGGCCGAAAGAACACUCAUUUCCAGCUCAGAUGGGCAAACAGGGCAGAGCUGAGCAGUACCACGGCACAGAGGGAUCAUCAAAGCUCUGCUCCUCUGAUCUAUGAUAAACUCAGCCAUUAGAAA
Molecule: long non-coding RNA, 774 nt
Organism: Vidua macroura (Pin-tailed whydah)
Lineage: Eukaryota; Metazoa; Chordata; Aves; Passeriformes; Viduidae
Exons: 2
Source: RefSeq, a predicted model, not a curated record